Molecule: long non-coding RNA, 2233 nt
Organism: Cavia porcellus (domestic guinea pig)
Lineage: Eukaryota; Metazoa; Chordata; Mammalia; Rodentia; Caviidae
Exons: 3
Source: RefSeq, a predicted model, not a curated record
ACCCAGGGCCAUCCCCAUACAUCCCCAGCUCCCCCCGCCCUUUUUUUCUUUUUGAAACAGUGUCUCACUAUCUGGUUCAAGUUGGUCUUAAAUUCACUAUGCAACCCAGUUGGCCUUGAACUCCAUCUCAUGGCCAUCCUCCUGCCUCAGCCUCCUGAAUGCUGGGAAUACAAACAUGAGCCACCAUGCCUGGCUAAUCCCUCCCCAUUGCUUUUUUUUUUUUUUUUUUGGUACUGGGAAUCAAACUCAGGUAGGCGCUGUGCCACUGAGCUAAAUCCCCAUCUGCUAAUCUCCUGUUUUGAGGCAGGAUCUCCAAUUAAAUUACUGAAUUGCUGGGGAUAAGCUCAUGACCCUCCUGCCUCAACAUCCCAGAGUGGAGAUUGUUUAGCUUUUGAAAGGCUAAGGGUUGCUGUGGUUGUGGAAAAUAAAUGGAGCAAAACAAAGCAUAAGAAGCUGAGAGAUGCUGCCCUUCAGCCAGGUGAGCGUAUUCCUUGCUAGUAAACACGUCCUCUCUCCUGAAAGGACCAUAUUGUGUCUGUAGAUUUCAUGGCUUUGGUAUUUACCUCCUGGGGCCUCAGAAAUCCUCAGAAUUACAGGAUGCCAGAACAACACAUUGGCGGACUGCUAGCUAGACAAAGCGAUGAUAUAGGGGUAAUAUCUGCAGGGAUGUGGGGGAAGGUCAAAAAAGCUAAAAAUCAUGCUGAGAAAAGCAAUGGCAGGAAAAAGAAAAAUCUAAAGGUGUGGAAAAGAAACCCUAAUUCUGUUGGUCUGUCUUCAUCUGGAAAGGAGGGCAGACUCUUCCCGGAAAGCUCUCAAGCCCUUGGGUUGAGCUGAAGUGCAAAUAUACUCGCUGAGCCGGGAUGCAUGAGCAAGGGGUGAGCCUGGGCAGGAUCGAGAAGAAAACCGACUCUGGACUCCUCCCUGCCACUGUGUGUGCACUUCUGGAGCUGAGCUGAUGUGAAGACGGGCGGGAGCAACCUCACCUCAGGGACUAGUGGACACUGCAGAAUAUGGUUCUCCGUAUGCGGGGUCUCCAAAAGAGCUGGACCUGAACUCACCAUGUAGCCCAGCUGACCUCAGACUCUUGGCAGUCCUCUUGCAUCAGCCUCCCAAGUGCUGGGAUUGCAGGUAUUUUGUCUCAGCAAUGAGAGAAAAAUAACCAAGACAAAUGGCUUCUUUUCAAUUCAACUGAAAAGUUGGCAAAGCAGUAAACAACGGCAAACUGACCUUUCCAAGAUUGAGAAUUCAGACACUGUAAAACAAUUUGGGGAAGAAAAAGAGGAUGAUGGAUCUCUGGGAUGCAGGAAGGAUCUGAAGGGAAAAUUGGAGCGCACAGAGAAAAUGAAAAGACUGACCCAACGCAGAAAAGAGGAGGAGGCAAUCUGUACUUUUUACCUGGCUCUCAGCUUGUGUCUGGAGAGAAGAGGAUCAAAUCCGCAGGGACACAGUGAGGGUGGUGAUUCCAGGGAGGAACCCACCAGUGGAACAGAGCAGUGGAUGCUGUGAACUACAGCGGCAGGCGAGUGACUCCAGGCCAAGAGACUGCUGUAUCCCCUGAAGAGGACAGGUACCAUGUGAGGAAGAGGCCAGCUGGACCUGGAGCUCAGAGCAGCCAGGGGUUAGCUUCAUCUCAGGGCACCCAGUGUUGAAAUCCCAUAAUGACUGAGUGAAGAGACAACUUCAGGAGAUGUCCAGGGUCAGGGAGUGAAGGCCAGGCCUGCUAAGGACACCCAGAGAAUUGUCGGCUGACUGACUCAGGCCCCAGCACCACAACCAGACACCAUGAUUAGCCAAACUUCUGUGGGUCUGAAAGUACCAGAACUAGCACCCUGCCCUAACUCUGUGGCAGGCUUGCUGGGUCAUCCAGCACAGAUCUUGACUCUGCUACCAGAGACAGCACAGCUGUGCUCGGAGUGAGACAAGCCAUGAUAGGCUUGAAAUCACAGAGAAAUUCUUUCUUUGUCUCUGCUGUUGGUUUUGGUGAGUUUUUUGAUUGUUCGUUUUUGUUUUUUGUGAGUGUGAACAUUUAGAUUUCUUCUUGUUUCAUUUUUUCCUUUUCUUCCCCUCCUGUCUUCAGUUUCCCAAGGCUUGAGUAAUCCUCCUUUGUCCUUCAGCUUUGCUUUUAAUCUUUAUUUUUCUUUUUUUAAAAUUUUAUUUAAAGACUAAACAAAACAGAAAAUAGAAAUAAUACAUACUUUCAGAGAAGAAAAACAUAAACAGUAAGAAAUCACUA